Molecule: long non-coding RNA, 381 nt
Filed under: Elaeis guineensis (African oil palm)
Lineage: Eukaryota; Viridiplantae; Streptophyta; Magnoliopsida; Arecales; Arecaceae
Description: long non-coding RNA (EGUI_LNC024497)
Source: RNAcentral
GGGGACGAGGUCCGGCUCCCGUAGGAGUCCGGGCAGAGUCUACCUGCAAUUGGAGUUGAGGGUAAAGUCCGACUCCCGUAGGAGUCCGGAUGAAGUCUGCCUGCAAUUGGAGUCGUGGGCGGAGUCCGGCUCCCGUAGGAGUCCGGAUGUCGCGAAGAAUCCGAUCGACGCUGGUGGGGUCCUGUCCGUCAGCAAAACUUGGGAGUGUUGCGAAGGCUCAGCCGCCUGGGAGGUUUGAAGAGACGUUGUCGGAGGUCGGAAGUUGGUUGGAUCCCUGGAGGGUCACUCCUGUCACGAACUUCGGCUGAUUGGGUAUUUUAUACCCAACAAGCCUGAUACUUUAUCAAUAAUUCAACAUAAUAAGAAAUCAUAGAAUGUUUC